This 253-nucleotide unclassified non-coding RNA is filed under the name uncultured cyanobacterium. Its description in RNAcentral is "contains 16S-23S intergenic spacer region". It matches the Rfam family "Bacterial small subunit ribosomal RNA", at positions 524 to 776 of the family's 1533-position model. The record is from RNAcentral. Lineage: Bacteria; Bacillati; Cyanobacteriota.
UACGUAGGAUGCGAGCGUUGUUCGGAAUUACUGGGCGUAAAGAGUAUGUAGGCGGCGAAUUAAGUCAGCUAUUAAAGACCAGGGCUCAACUCUGGGACUGUAGCUGAAACUGAUUUGCUAGAGGCUAAUAGGGGGAGUCGGAAUUCUCAGUGUAGCGGUGAAAUGCGUAGAUAUUGGGAAGAACACCGGUGGCGAAAGCGGACUCCUGGGUUAGUACUGACGCUGAGAUACGAAAGCGUGGGGAGCAAACGGG